GCAGAGACACACUCAGAGACUCUCUCAGGGCUGAAGGAGGUAACAUUUUUGCCUCUCUCUCUCUGUCUGAGGGAAAGAUCUGAAGGAUCUCAGUGUUUUCCUUUCCCAACUUGGGAAACACUAGUGACUAUCGCGGUUUUUAUAGAUUGUUUAACUCUGAGAAGAUCAAAGAAAAACCUGUUCCUUGUUUUGGACUUUGAGUCUGUUAAGGCUCAGAGUUCUAACUUGAUUCUUGUUGAGACUCAACCAGCUAGCCUUUGCUAUUUUAUAAUUUGAAGGCGAAGUUAAGAUUUCGAAAUAUAAUAGCAGUAGUUUUUAUUUAGAUAGUAUAAAUUUGGGUUAGUCAGAUCAGGGAGGAUUAGUGUGGCCUGUGAAACACAGGAGAAGCGGUUCCUUGCAGAACCAAGGAAUUUAUUUGGGUGGAUUUAGAAUCCCUUAGAAUUAGAAAUUCUUCUGGCCUCAGCCACUUCCCAGCUGUGUGACCCUGGGUAAGUCACUUAACCCCCAUUGCCUAGCCCUCACCACUCUUCUGCCUUGGAGCCAAUACACAGUAUUGACUCCAAGACAGAAGGUAAGGGUUUUAAAAAAAAGAAUUAGAAAUUCUUUUUUAUACUUAUAUAUUUCAAUAAAUAUUUUAUUUUUAUAAUAGGAGCCUUUUUAGUGUCCUUGCACCUGGCCUGGAAGGUAAAUUCACGUUUGAGCUUCACUUCAUCACUGAAGAUUCUUUUGAUUACAUCUAUCAAAAGUAUCAGAACAGUUUGAACCUGUACUGAUCUGAUUCUUGUUCACAGGAGGAAAACAGGAGAAGUGGAGAGGAUUCAAAAUGGCCUGAAUGUGGAAAAGAUUUCAUGGUCUCAGGAGUGCUGAGUCUAGUGGUUUAACUCAUCUCAGACAUGGAAGGUCCAAGUGAUUUGGUAGCAACAGAUUCUGCUCCAUUAACUGCCUUGAUCCAGAGUUCUUGUUGUCUUAUCUCUCACUGGCCUUAUUUUAAAAAAGCCUUUGACUGGACUCUAUGUUUGUACAACCUGCUGUACUUGACUGUUGGGAUAAAAAGCGUAGAUAUUCUCAUUUCAAGACAUCGAGGAUGAAAUGUAUGAAGUGGAGUGUUGCAAUUGAUAGAACUGGGUUUGAAUUCCAGUGUUAUUGUUUGUUUAAACCUUGACCUUCUUGACUAAUUCGCUAAUCUCUGUGGAUCUCAGUUUCCUUAUUUGUACUUUGAGGAGUUUGUAUCAGAUGGUCUCUAAGACCCUUUCUGGCUUUAAAUUCACCCUCCAGGCCUCUAAACAGAGAGAUGAAGAUUUAAAAACUUAGGAAGCACAUAGCAAUGUAAGAGAUGAGAUACCAAAAGCACAAAUCUAUGGGCUUACAUAAUCUAUAUACAGACUCACUUUAUCAUACUUUCAGGAGGGAAAACAAUGUAUAGCCAUAAAACACUUAUGCAAUUCCCUUUCACUAGGGAUAUAUUUUAAAUGUAAAUCAUAAACAUAAGAUAUUGAAUUCACAGGUUUAUAAAUAUUACCCUCACAGUGAUGAGAAACUUGAUUUAUUUCUGUUCCAAACCAUGGGUUGCUUUAGCGUUGUGCUGGCCCACAGAACUAAUGUAUUAAGUAAUUGCCCAAGUGUUGUAUUGCUAUGCAACACAUUUAUCAGGUCUUAACCUCUGAAAAACAGAUGGAAUUCUUCACUGGAUGUCUCUCUUACGUACUAACAUUUAUGACUCACUUUGCCCCUGUUCAAGAUUUAACCUUGAGAAUAAUGGAAUCUGAAUCAUAUCUCUAAAAUGGAUUUCAUCUCCCCUACACAUAUAAGAAUAUCAAUGAUUAAACUCUAAAAUUUCUGCCUGUUAUGUAAUUUUUUUUGAAACUUAGAGAUGCUCAAUAAUGCUAAAAGCAGUAGACCUCUUACUUGGCCAUAAAAUUCACUUGUGGUUUGACUUAAGACAUCUAGUUAUGGGGAAAGAGUGGAAUCAAGGGAAGAGCAGGUAAAAGAUGUACCUUAGAUUAUAGUCACUUGGAGAGACCAAGAUAAAAUGGGAUCACCAAAGAGGAUGGCUUACAUCCCAGACUUAGACAUGAUGAUCCUGUUAGUCUAGCAAGAAGAGGAAGGGGAUCCAGGUGAAACAGUUGCCUGUUGACCUGACCUCAGGUCAUGCCACGUUCUCUAAGAUCAUUUUCUCAGUUCUUGAGUAGAAGUCACACAAGUCAGCCCCACAUUGUAAAUUCCAGUAAUCAUAUGUAAAGGCUAAGGGUCUGAUAGAGCAAGUUGGACUUUCACUCAUGGUAUCUAAUUGGUUUUCCACCUCUGAUCUCAUAGACAGCAAAGACCAAUUACUGCAGGUAGAAUGAAGGCUCUCUAAGUUUGAGAAAAUUAGUUGCCAUAGAUAUGUAUAAUUAAGCAAAACAGACAUCUUGGUCAUGUCUGACACAAUGUCUCAUUCUAUACCUAUGGUGCACCAUAUCUGCUGUAAGAAUUGAAAUAAUAUUUCUACCUAUAUAUAUAUUUUAUUAAAUUUAUUAGUAAGGGUAGACAAUCAUUCCUAUAAGUAACCUGACCACAUGGUCCCUAGCCUUCAAGUCCCUUCCUCCUUCCCUUCACCUGCCUGCUCUAUUCCUGACUUCCUCCUUCUUCAUUCUCUUCUUGAUUCCCUCCCUUUCAAGCCCCCAAACCUUGACUUUUGUUGACAUAUAGCACAUAGAGGGAUGCAACUGUGUUAUGUCAUGAAUGAAUGUUUGAUGGACAGGUCAAGCUACUCAGGAAGGGGAGGGAAUGAACUUCCUUGACACAAUCUCCCUGUGAUCCUUUGGGAGACCCGUCUCCCCAGUGGAUCACUUAAAUAUAACUAUCUUAUAACUCUAAAUACCUUCUAGCUAAAAGUACAUACAAUAUUGCAUUUUUCUAAGAAGAAGUAACAAUAGAGAUGAGAGUAAAAUACAAAAACUGAUUGAUAGAUGCAUUGACAAAAUGCCAAUUGGGGGCAAUCCCCUUUGGCAUAAGAGUUUACAUUCAGAAUAAAUAUGUUCAACCCCCUUCA
This 3031-nucleotide long non-coding RNA is filed under the name Monodelphis domestica (gray short-tailed opossum). RNAcentral describes it as "lncRNA (ENSMODG00000045704.1)". Lineage: Eukaryota; Metazoa; Chordata; Mammalia; Didelphimorphia; Didelphidae. The record is from RNAcentral.